Molecule: ribosomal RNA, 749 nt
Filed under: Microbacterium aurantiacum
Lineage: Bacteria; Bacillati; Actinomycetota; Actinomycetes; Micrococcales; Microbacteriaceae
Description: partial 16S ribosomal RNA
Rfam family: Bacterial small subunit ribosomal RNA
Source: RNAcentral
GUGAAGCCAAGCUUGCUUGGUGGAUCAGUGGCGAACGGGUGAGUAACACGUGAGCAACCUGCCCUGGACUCUGGGAUAAGCGCUGGAAACGGUGUCUAAUACUGGAUAUGAGCUCUCAUCGCAUGGUGGGGGUUGGAAAGAUUUUUCGGUCUGGGAUGGGCUCGCGGCCUAUCAGCUUGUUGGUGAGGUAAUGGCUCACCAAGGCGUCGACGGGUAGCCGGCCUGAGAGGGUGACCGGCCACACUGGGACUGAGACACGGCCCAGACUCCUACGGGAGGCAGCAGUGGGGAAUAUUGCACAAUGGGCGGAAGCCUGAUGCAGCAACGCCGCGUGAGGGAUGACGGCCUUCGGGUUGUAAACCUCUUUUAGCAGGGAAGAAGCGAGAGUGACGGUACCUGCAGAAAAAGCGCCGGCUAACUACGUGCCAGCAGCCGCGGUAAUACGUAGGGCGCAAGCGUUAUCCGGAAUUAUUGGGCGUAAAGAGCUCGUAGGCGGUUUGUCGCGUCUGCUGUGAAAUCCCGAGGCUCAACCUCGGGCCUGCAGUGGGUACGGGCAGACUAGAGUGCGGUAGGGGAGAUUGGAAUUCCUGGUGUAGCGGUGGAAUGCGCAGAUAUCAGGAGGAACACCGAUGGCGAAGGCAGAUCUCUGGGCCGUAACUGACGCUGAGGAGCGAAAGGGUGGGGAGCAAACAGGCUUAGAUACCCUGGUAGUCCACCCCGUAAACGUUGGGAACUAGUUGUGGGGACCA